Molecule: transfer RNA, 86 nt
Filed under: Verrucomicrobiia bacterium
Lineage: Bacteria; Pseudomonadati; Verrucomicrobiota; Verrucomicrobiia
Also listed under: 1 other name
Description: tRNA-Leu
Rfam family: tRNA
About the family: Transfer RNA (tRNA) molecules are approximately 80 nucleotides in length.
Source: RNAcentral
GCCCGUGUGGCGAAAUGGCAGACGCACAGGACUUAAAAUCCUGAGGAGUGAAUAACUCCGUGCCGGUUCGAGUCCGGCCACGGGCA